This is a non-coding RNA of Podarcis lilfordi (Lilford's wall lizard), 3085 nucleotides long. NCBI's taxonomy places the organism in Eukaryota, Metazoa, Chordata, Lepidosauria, Squamata, Lacertidae. The record is from the annotation of a GenBank genome assembly.
GACCUUCAAAGCCCUUCACGGCCUAGGACCCUUGUACCUACGGGACCGCCUCUCCCGGUAUGCCCCACGGAGGACCUUAAGGUCCAUAAAUAGCAACACCCUAGAGGUCCCAGGCCCUAAGGAAGUUAGAUUAGCCUCAACCAGAGCCAGGGCCUUUUCAACACGGGCUCCAGCUCUGUCUCAUGAGACCAGGGCCCUGCAGGAUCUGAUUUCUUUCCGCAGGGCCUGUAAGACAGAGUUGUUCCGCCUGGCCUUUGGCUUGGAAUCAAUUUGAUUCUCUCCCCCUCUUUCUUUUUUCCUCUCUCCUCCAGUGAUGAGGCUGCAUUUUAAUGUUUUAAUGUUGUAUUUUAAUCUUGUUUUUUAAUUUGUAUUUCAAUCAACUUGUUUUUAUUAUUGGUUGUUAGCCGCCCUGAGCCCGGUGUUGGCUGGGGAGGGUGGGGUAUAAAUAAAAUUUAUUCAUUUAUUAUUAUUAUUAUAGAAGAAUAUAGCUAGAUAGAUAGCUAGAGAGACAGGCUUGUAGAGUUGGAAGGGACCACAAGGGUCAUCUAGGCCAACCCCCUGCAAUGCAGGAAUCUCUUGCCAAACAUGGGGAUCAAACCCACAACCCUCAGAUUAAGACCUGCAAAGUUUGCAGAAGUACGAAAAACAACAGCCCCUGUUUGGGGUGGUGGUGGGCAAACAUAAGGAAAGAGAAAUUUAAUGAGGACUCAUGACGCUGAGCGGGGAGGAGAAUGGAAGAGAAUAUAUCAGAAAAGGGCAUGGCUGGUCAGUGCUCUGAACAUAUGAAAUAACUUGAGAUGUAUGUGUUCCCGAGGGGAAGUCCCAUGUCCAGUGGGUGGUGCCUGCCUCUCUUUCUAAAUGGUGCCUCUGAAUUUAUUAUGAAUGAACUCUUCAUGGUUUCCCAAAAGCUCAGGAGGACCACAGCAGCAGAAAAGCUUUUAAUGCCACGUGGCUGGUGAGAGGGGUUGUUUCUGACAGUCACACCAGUGAAGAUUACAGAGCAGAAAGGCACUUCCUGGUUUUAAUCGAGCUUUUACGUGAUUGAACCAUCGUUUCCAGAAGCAAAGAAUAAUAAUAAUGGCAUUCCUCAUUCUCUUGAUAUCAUUAAAGACGGCUGAGCGCCGCUUCUUAUUUAUCUCCGCCAUGGCUUCCUUAUGACUGUUUUACUGCUUCCCACACAUCGACGCGUUAUGUCAGCUGUACGAAAGGUAACUAGAAAUGGCAGCUGGCGAGAGAAAGUGUCGCCAUUCCUGGAAUGGCUUGGAUUAUCAGGGCAGCAGGAGUUGCUGGCACCGCAGCCCAAAUCUACUUGACCUGCCGAAUGUUUGGCUGCUGGAGAGAGUGAUGAUUCAUUCAAAGUUCACGAAACGCGAUUGCUGGCUUCUACACAGAGGAAAUAAAAACUAGGAUUUCCCCCUCCUAAAAACUGCCCAAGUGGUAAAACUUAAAGGGUUGUGUUUGCUGUUUCCUCUUCUUUCCCCCCUUUCUCCUGAUUACGUCAUCUCUCUCUUCAUGAUUCGUUAUUCACUUAAGGAAUUUUCUGCCGCUAGAUGAACAACACUAUUAGGGUGAAGUUAGAUGUAAUACUUAGAGCAGGUUAUCCACCAACGAUGAGAUUCUAGCUUCCUUCACAAUUUUCAAAACAGGUUACGGGGUUAGGCAUUCCUCUUGACUGGGAAUGGAGGAGAAAUUAAUUCAGUUUGCAUUUAGAGAUGAACCUAUUUAAGUCACGCUUUUAUCACACAGCGCAUGAACUUCAAACACAACCCUCCUUCUAAAUUCACGUUUCUUUGGAUGUUGCAACGCAGUUGCCCGGCAUGCACCGGAGUAAAGUGUGCCUAAAAAUGCACACAUGAGUGAAAAUAAGAUACAAAAAUGGCAUUAUAUUAGACAAAAUUGCUUUGCGAAAAUGUGUACGUUAGGAGAAAUUUGCACUUAAAUGCUUAUGAAUUUUCAUGAGGACUUAAAAAAAUACAGACUGAUGUGGAAAUGUGGAGAAAGGAACUGAUGAUUGGGGAAAAUGAGAAACCUAGAGAAAAAUGAUAUUGGCAGAUUUGCCCAUCCCUAAUCCUAGCCCUUGGGGGUAGAGGAGAAUUAUUAUUUUUUUUAAAAAAAAAUUCCAGUCAAGCAAGUUGAUAUACAGUGGUACUUCGGGUUACAAACACUUCGGGUUAUAAACACUUUGGGUGACAGAAUCUGCUAAUCCAGAAGUAGUACCCUGGGUUAAGAACUUUACUUCAGGAUGAGAACAGACAUUGCGCGCCAGCGGGAGUCCCCAUUAGCUAAAGUGGUACGUCAGGUUAAGAACAGUUUCAGGUUAAGAACGGACCUCCAGAAUGAAUUAAGUAAGUAACCAGAGGUACCACUGUAAUUUGCACCUUCUGGACUAAUCAGAACAUAAUAAUUAUUCAGAUUUCAAAGUUCUCUGAAUUUUGCGUUAAAGUUCUCAUCUAAAAAAUAAAUAACGAAAGGUUUUAAAAGUGCAUAUUUUAAGACCAAAUUCUCUUUUUCUAUAUUUAGAAAUGCACGCUUUGAAAUAAAAUAUGUAUUUAAAUAUGAAUCUUCACAAGGUUUUUCCUUUAAAUACAGAGUAAUGUGGAAAGAGGAUGGAAUGGACUUGUGAAUGGACACAUGCAACUUCAAUAUGGACCAGAAAUAGACCAACCCAUCCUAAAUUUUGGGGGCCACAUUUUUUAAAAGUAGUACCACAUGUCUAUUCAUGAGAAGAUAAUAGGUCCUGGAGCAUCAUUAGCCAACAUAGUGCCCUUCGGAAGUUAUUGGACUCCCAGUUAUUGGACUCCCAGUUCUCAUAAUCCCCAGCCAGCUUUGCCAAUGGCCAUGGAUGAUGGGAGUUGUAGUCUGGCAAUAUCUAGAAAGCACCACUUUUUUGGGGGAGGGGAAUGAAUCCUAGGGCUUGAGCUGAUGGCCAGUUAUACAACAAGCAACCUUACUGUAGCUAAGUUCUGGCUUAGAUCUUUCAGUGCUAGGGUGGGUUUCUGCUUGUUUUCAUACUUAUUCAUUUAUUUAUUUGAUAAGAUUCUAUUAAAGCUUUUUCAUAAUACCAUGAGAUAAAAGAAACUAAUCC